UAUCAAGUCUGUCAACUUUAUAAAACACAAAGAAUUUACAGAGAAGGGAAAGAAAGCUAAAUCAAAUGUGUUUCUACAUGCAUGGGAACUGUUGAGUCACAGCCUGAACCACUGAUUGAGCACCUGGGGAAAGGACUGGAUCAGCCCUGGGAGCACAGGAGAAAGCAAUUCAGCUGUGAGACAGGAAGGGGUAGAACCUAGCUGCACCUCUUUUAGAUCUCAUUGAAGGCCUGACUGCUACUGGGGAAGGGUCUUUUUCUGGAGACAGCUCCUUGCUGAAGCUUUCCCCUGUGAACCUGGAAUCUUCUGGUACAGCCUUAAGUGAGAUGACUCUGACUUAAGAGGAUGACUGGCUGAAAAACCAUCAGAAAUUAAACCUCAGCAGGCAUCAAGAGUACAGCCAGUGUGAAACAAGUUCUAAUAAAUGCUUUCUGGACAGGAUAAGGACCAGAACACUCAUGGUUGUCCAAGUACAAGCAUACGGAUGUCUCUCUUAAAUC
Meleagris gallopavo (turkey) is the source of this 500-nucleotide non-coding RNA. The record is from RefSeq and is a predicted model, not a curated record. Lineage: Eukaryota; Metazoa; Chordata; Aves; Galliformes; Phasianidae.